CUGCUGGGCCACACCUGUUAAUGAUUCUGACUAUCAUAUUCGCUGGAAUCUAAUUAUGAGAGAAUGUCAGAAUCCUGAUGAUGGGACAGUGGAAGUUCUUCAGAAUGGCAAUGGCACAACAAGCUAUUUCUCCUUCAGAAUGUUCACCUUCUCAGGAAUUUCUGACCGCAUCUUCCUGCACUGUCAGGUUCAUCUUUGCCUUGUACAGAAUGGCAGAUGUGCACUGUCAUGCGACCCUGGAUAUAGACGUAGAAGGCGCAGAUCUUUGGACUUCUACCACUCUGCAGCAAUCACCAUGGGUCUUUAAGAAAGCUCAGUAAUCCUGAUAAAUGAAAUAUUAUGCAUUUAUAAUUCAAAUUAAGUAAUGAACAGAAAAAAAACCUCUCUAAUCAAUCUCUGUAUACAUGCAUUGAUUUAUUACUAUAGACUAGGGGUGUCCAAACUCGGUCCUGGAGGCUGCUGUCCUGCAUAGUUUAGUGUCAUCCAGCUCCAAAACCACCUGUCUGGGCGGUUUCUAGU
Long non-coding RNA from Cyprinus carpio (common carp), 519 nucleotides. RefSeq lists it as uncharacterized. The transcript is spliced from 3 exons. The record is from RefSeq and is a predicted model, not a curated record. Lineage: Eukaryota; Metazoa; Chordata; Actinopteri; Cypriniformes; Cyprinidae.